Molecule: long non-coding RNA, 805 nt
Organism: Cyprinus carpio (common carp)
Lineage: Eukaryota; Metazoa; Chordata; Actinopteri; Cypriniformes; Cyprinidae
Source: Ensembl
UACAUAAAUGCAAAUUAGACAAGCACAUAAUAUGAACAACUACAGUGCAUCGGUUAGAAUAAACUUUUAGAGCAUACAGUGUGGAACUUUAUGUAAUUUUUUCAUUUAUAAUUUCUUUUACUGAAUUUCAAAAAUACAAAACAAUUCACUAUGUCCUCAAGACAUUUAAGAGUAAAUCCACGUAAGGAUGCAAUCAUAUAAAAAUAAAUAAAAGUAAAUGAAAAGUAAAAGGCAACGCAAUCAUUUUUACUAUUCAUUUAGCUGUGCUGAUGACAUCAGCUGGCGUCAUGCAGUUGAUUUCAGUUUCAUAUAGGAAGGGUUUUUCCUGGAAUCCUUUUUUGGAAAAUAGCUUACAUGCUUAUCUACUCACGCUAACUGUUUCAGAGAAAAACUUUUGCAGUGAUGAGUUUCAGAGGUCGAGAUGCUGGUUCAGAGAUGUAACAGAAAACCUUAACCUCAUUCAAGAAGUAAGAGGAGAUUUAGUGCUUUUGCAGAAGGCACCGGUUCUCAGGAGGAACAAAUAACAUCUAAAUCAUCAUUAUUCAUGGUAAGAUAGUAAAUACUCCAACAUAUAUAAAGACAAACUUUUACAAAGGAAUAGACAGAAGUCUUAAUCUCAGAUUAAGGGUGCGGUGCUGAGCUCAUUGCUGUGGAUGAUGUCAGCAUACUUAAUAGCUAUGCACACAGUGAUUGGCUGAUAGGGGAGGGCUCUCUGUCAGAGAUUCUUUCAUAGAAAUUCUGUAGAGUGUGAUAUUAUGUUUCCAUUUUCAAAUAAAGGUUUAAAAAUAAAAAGUGUUAAUUGCCA